RNAcentral lists this unclassified non-coding RNA (258 nucleotides) under Hevea brasiliensis (rubber tree). Lineage: Eukaryota; Viridiplantae; Streptophyta; Magnoliopsida; Malpighiales; Euphorbiaceae. The record is from RNAcentral.
ACAUGACUGGGCACAUGAUGGAGAGCUUGAUGAUACUGUUGAGGAAGACGAUGAGGUUCGUGAUGAAAAUGAUGGAGAGAAUGAUGAUAACGGAACACCAGAGGAUGAAACAGGUGAAAAUUGAUAACGACAUUGUUGAAUACUUAGUUUGUGUUCAUGGUUUCUUAGCUUCUUCAUCAAUGGAGUAAUUUGGGGAUUUUGAUUAGUUUCUGGAAUCUUGUAAUCUGUUACUCUGUUUCUGCUUCAUUGAUGGAUGAA